RNAcentral lists this small RNA (125 nucleotides) under Marmota monax (woodchuck). The record is from RNAcentral. Lineage: Eukaryota; Metazoa; Chordata; Mammalia; Rodentia; Sciuridae.
GCCAGGCGCAGUGGCACAUGCCUGUAAUCCCAGUGGCUUGGGAGGCUGAGGCAGGAGGAUUGCAAAUUCAAAGCCAGCCUCAGCAACAGCGAGGCUCUAAGCAACUCAGUGAGACCCUGUCUCUA